UACGUAGGGUGCGAGCGUUAAUCGGAAUUACUGGGCGUAAAGCGUGCGCAGGCGGUUCUGAAAGUCAGCUGUGAAAGCCCCGGGCUUAACCUGGGAAUGGCGGUUGAAACUACAGGACUAGAAUCUGGCAGAGGGGGGUGGAAUUCCACGUGUAGCAGUGAAAUGCGUAGAUAUUGGGAAGAACACCGAUGGCGAAGGCAGCCAUCUGGACCGACACUGACGCUGAGGCGCGAAAGCGUGGGGAGCAAACAGG
RNAcentral lists this ribosomal RNA (253 nucleotides) under uncultured bacterium. Its description in RNAcentral is "partial 16S ribosomal RNA". It matches the Rfam family "Bacterial small subunit ribosomal RNA", at positions 524 to 776 of the family's 1533-position model. The record is from RNAcentral.